RNAcentral lists this long non-coding RNA (209 nucleotides) under Solanum tuberosum (potato). RNAcentral describes it as "long non-coding RNA (STUB_LNC010771)". The record is from RNAcentral. Lineage: Eukaryota; Viridiplantae; Streptophyta; Magnoliopsida; Solanales; Solanaceae.
GUUCUGGAUCUUAAGGUGAUUUCUUUGGAAUAAAGCUUGGAUUGACUAUUCUCUAAGCUAGUGGUGAGUCCUCAAGAUUCGAGGACAUAUGAGAGUCUUUAGUAGUUUCUUUCAUGUCAUUUUACGUUUCAGACUAUGUUGAAGGGCUGUGACCUUAUUAUUGAUUCAAAGUUAUAUUAGAUGGCCAUAUGAGACAAAGUUAGACUUCC